This 490-nucleotide ribosomal RNA is filed under the name uncultured bacterium. RNAcentral describes it as "bacterial SSU rRNA". It matches the Rfam family "Bacterial small subunit ribosomal RNA", at positions 28 to 526 of the family's 1533-position model. The record is from RNAcentral.
GAUGAACGCUGGCGGCGUGCUUUACACAUGCAAGUUGAACGGACAAACAAGAGUGCUUGCACUUUUGUUUGUUAGUAGCGGACGGGUGAGUAACACGUGGAUAAUCUGCCUUAAGCAAAGGAAUAACGCCGAGAAAUCAGCGCUAAAACCUUAUAAGCUCACGAGAUGGCAUCGUUUCGGGAGAAAAUAUUUAUAGGCUUAAGAGGAGUCCGCGACUGCUUAGCUAGUUGGCAGGGUAACGGCCUACCAAGGCGACGAUCAGUAGCCGGCCUGAGAGGGCGGACGGCCACAUUGGGACUGAGACACGGCCCAGACUCCUACGGGAGGCAGCAGUGGGGAAUAUUGCACAAUGGACGCAAGUCUGAUGCAGCAACGCCGCGUGGAGGAUGAAGGUCUUCGGAUUGUAAACUUCUAUCGACAGGGACGAAUCAAAUGACGGUACCUGAGUAAGAAGCACCGGCUAACUACGUGCCAGCCGCCGCAGUAACAC